Molecule: long non-coding RNA, 883 nt
Organism: Bos taurus (domestic cattle)
Lineage: Eukaryota; Metazoa; Chordata; Mammalia; Artiodactyla; Bovidae
Source: Ensembl
GGGUGGACCCUAGGGGAACAAGUGGAUUUCUCCAACCUGUCAGUCCCUCUCACCUUUCCUGUUUCUCUCACCUCCCCCAAGCCUACCAGCAUCCCCCCCUUCUUAGAUGAUGCUGACAGCGGGUACUAGCACCCCCAGGCCAUCGUAAUUAGCAUCUGGCUCUGAGCCCAGUCUUCUGGCAGCACAUUCCUCUCCUCCCUCGCCAGCCAAUCUCCUUCCCCCAGCAUCCCUCCAUCAGCACUGCAGCAGCUGCGGCACCAACAACCUCCGCACCAAGGUCACCACCAGAACCAACAAUGACAAAGCACUCACUUCCUUCUUGGGUGGGCACCGCACCGGUCAAUGCCUCACGAUCGUCUGAGCCAUUCUGGGGUAAUGCAACUGUGAUUCUGAACAAAGAGCGUGUCCUUAGGAGGACGGGUAGAGGUUAACCACCCGUUCUUGGAGGGGCUAGUGAGAGAUGCAUUUAAUCAAUUAAGCUCUGCAGGACAGAAGGAACAGAGCAAAAUGAGCCUGAGAUCCCGGAAGGGUGAGGAAAGGAUCGGGCGAGUUCACGUGUCACUGCGGCUUGGAACCUGGGGUGCUGAGCACCGUGCUGGUGAUGCGGAGGAUGCUGAUGGCAAUGUCAAUAGCACCAUUUACUUUGUGCCAAAUACCAGACCGAGCACUUGCCAAGCAUUUCUGCAUUUAAUCCUCGCAUCUACCGUGUGGAGUAACCGGCGGCAGCUACUGACGGGCUUCCCUGGUGGCUCAGCAGUAGAGAAUCCACCUGCCAACACAGAAGACGUGGAUUCAAUCCCUGGGUUAGGAAGAUCCCCUGGAGAAGGAAAUGGCAACCUAUUCCAGUAUUCUUGCCUGGGAAAUACCGUGGACAGAAGAGCCU